RNAcentral lists this ribosomal RNA (253 nucleotides) under uncultured bacterium. RNAcentral describes it as "partial 16S ribosomal RNA". It matches the Rfam family "Bacterial small subunit ribosomal RNA", at positions 524 to 776 of the family's 1533-position model. The record is from RNAcentral.
UACGAAGGAUGCAAGCGUUAUCCGGAUUCACUGGGUUUAAAGGGAGCGUAGGUGGGCUGGUAAGUCAGUGGUGAAAUCUCCGAGCUUAACUUGGAAACUGCCAUUGAUACUAUUAGUCUUGAAUAUUGUGGAGGUCAGCGGAAUAUGUCAUGUAGCGGUGAAAUGCUUAGAGAUGACAUAGAACACCAAUUGCGAAGGCAGCUGGCUACGCAUAUAUUGACACUGAGGCUCGAAAGCGUGGGGAUCAAACAGG